GAUGGAAGAACGUAGCGAAAUGCGAUACGUAAUGUGAAUUGCAGAAUUCAGUGAAUCAUCGAAUCUUUGAACGCAUAUUGCGCUCUCUGGUAUUCCGGAGAGCAUGCUUGUUUGAGUAUCAGUAAACACCUCAACUCCCUUUUCUUUUUUGAAAUUGGAGCUGGACUUGAGUGAUCCCAACGCUUUCUUCCAAGAAAGUGGCGGGUUGCUUGAAAUGCAGGUGCAGCUGAACUUUUCUCUGAGCUAUAAGCAUAUCUAUUUAGUCUGCCUAAAAAACAGAUUAUUACCUGUGCUGCAGCUAACAUAAAGGAGACUAGUUCUUGUGCUGACUGAUGCAGGAUUCACAGAGACAGCUUCGGCUGACUUUGUAAACUCGAUCUCAAAUCAAGUAAGACUACCCGCUGAACUUAAGCAUAUCAAUAAGCGGAGGA
This 431-nucleotide unclassified non-coding RNA is filed under the name soil metagenome. RNAcentral describes it as "partial contains 5.8S ribosomal RNA, internal transcribed spacer 2, and large subunit ribosomal RNA". The stretch from base 5 to 121 matches the Rfam family "5.8S ribosomal RNA", at positions 38 to 154 of the family's 154-position model. The record is from RNAcentral.